This 28-nucleotide non-coding RNA is filed under the name Bombyx mori (domestic silkworm). Lineage: Eukaryota; Metazoa; Arthropoda; Insecta; Lepidoptera; Bombycidae. The record is from RNAcentral.
UUAUAAAUGACAAACGUUACGAUCGGGC